This 3055-nucleotide long non-coding RNA is filed under the name Callithrix jacchus (white-tufted-ear marmoset). RNAcentral's name for it is "lncRNA (ENSCJAG00000073165.1)". The record is from RNAcentral. Lineage: Eukaryota; Metazoa; Chordata; Mammalia; Primates; Cebidae.
GUCCAAAGUUUAAAAGGUAAGUUAAGAAGGGAAGUAUGGCAAAUAAAAAAGCCAAGCAUAGUGAGGAAACUGUAACACAUCGCUGUGGGGCCACCAGCUUACAUGGAGCUGAAAAGAGGGAUAGCAGGUGGCUCAACAGCUCUGCCACAGAAAUGCCCUGUCCUGGGGCCUGCCACCUCACUGGCCCAAGGAGAGUGAGACACAGGGAGUGGAGCCAUCCUAGCUGACACACAGAUCCGCACUGAGAAGCAGAGUUACCCAGAUGGGCCCAGCCUAGAUCAGCAGAAUCCCAGGCAACCUGCAUAUGUGUGUAGAAAAUGCUGUUACAAAGCCACUGAGAUUUUGUUGUUACUGGUUAUACGGCAUUAUUGCAACAAAAACUAAUUGAAGUAGUUGUUAACAAAUACUCAUCCAAUCAACAUAUAUUGAGGUCUUAUUGUGUGCUAGCCACUGAAGAUGCAAUGACAAGAAAGACGGAUACAAUUAUUACUCUCAUGGAAUUUACCGUUGAUUUUUGUGGUCCCUGAGGCCCUUUUGGGAAGGGCUGCAAUGUUAAAAUUGUUUUCAGUGUAGUACUAAAACAUUCUUUUUCUUUUUCUUUUUUUUUUCCACUGUGUUGACAUUUGCACCAGUGGAACAAAGGCAAUUACAUACUUAGCUGCUGAAAUUUUGACACGAAUCAUUGCAGGGGAACCAAAACGUAGGAGUAGUCGUAUUUACUAUCACGGUGUACUUACAGUUUAAAAAAUACCAGUUUCAUUGAUGAAUGUCCUCAAUGAGGUGGUAAAAUGAUUGAUUUAAUUAAAUCUCCACUCUGAGGUUAAUAUCUUUCUAAUAAUCUGUAUGCCACAAUGGGAAGCACCCGUGAAGUACUUCCGCUGCCACUGAAAUAUGAUGGAGCAGUCCACAGAGGAUUGAAACUGGUUACCCAUUUCAAUGCAAAAGUCCAAUUUCUACCUUUCACCGUAACUAAAAACCAUACUCUGCUCAUAGUACAGAUUUAAAUACAAAUGAAAACAAAAAACAAAUGGAAGAAAAUACAGAAAGAUUUUUAAAAUCAUUGUGAUUUGGACAGUUUUCUCCAAACAUGCACAAAGGCCAAAAAACACAGGGACCUUCAGUUUUUCCUAUAUGUACUUCAGAAUUAUUCUAAUUGCUGUGAGAGUUUUUCAUAAUAAAACCCCAUUAAGUAAACAAAACAAGUCUAUGCGUGCAUUCUUUGUAACAAAUGGCAACACAGAUUUCAUUGAUGUCAUAUGAAGAAUGAGCACGUUUUAAGCACAAUCAUUGCACAUCUGAUCACAGCUGAAUGGUCAAUUUUGUCAGAAAACAAGUAUGGACAAACCAAGACUCUCCACACCAUUUGUCAUUCAUGGUCAGCAUUUUAUCCACUUUAGAGUAAUAGCCUAUUAUCAAAAUGAUACCAUUUCCCUACAUAUUCCAGAGAGCUAGGAAUUUUAAAUGCCUAUGACACAAUCAAAGGGGUAAGCGCAAUUCUGUUGUUCUGGUUGCCACAGUCAAUUGUUAACAGCUACUCUUAAUAUUUUUCAGGCUGAAAGCUUCUUCCUCCUGGAGGCUGGAGCCAAACCCUAUGGUUUCAGAUUAAUUCUUAUUAAAGAACGAUGUGAAGAUUGCUUUUUGAGCUACAGCUCACAAACAUGAGAAGAAUAUGAGUCAGGUUCUUUGGUUUUCAUAGGGCCUCUUCUAGCACAAACCAGGCUCUUUUAGGAAUUGGAAAAAGACACCCCUCCUAGUGGAAAAAUUAGAAAAAGGUGCCUCUUUGGGGUAGAAGAAUUAGAAAAAGGCAGUCCUUCCUCUGGGUGGAUGCAUCAGAGCAUUAACUAGAUUUUCCCUUAGUUCCCACGGCUGGAAGUCUUUUUGGGAGAGAACAGCCUGGCCAUCUGUGCAUUGUAGCCCUGCAUCUUCACAACAUAAACUCUGCUUUUUGCUGCCUGGUCAUAGAGUGAGACUUUGAUGAAGCAACAGUAGAGAAUAUUACUACAGAUUGUAUAAUUCCUCCUUGAAAGACUUGUGAAACAAGGCUCAUUGGAGAAGUAGUAUUUGAGACAGAAGGAUGAAGGGAUAUACUCUGACAGCCCUAAGUUUUAUUCUACUAGAAUGGGGGACAGCAAACAAGGGCCCAUAAACCAGAUCUAGUCUGCCACCAAUUUUUGUAAAUAAAGUUUUAUUGGAACACAGUCAUACUCAUUCCUGUAUGUCCUGUUUAUAGAUGCUUUUGUGCUAUGACAGCAGAGUAGAGCAAUUACAAGGCACCACACAGCUCACAAAACUUAAAAUAUUUACUCUGGCUCUUUGGAGGAAUAGUUUGUCAACCCCUAUGUAAAAUCACUCAAUGGCACUAUCUCAGUCAUACUGUGUCAGUCUUUUGCUUAUAUAUUCUUAAUGAAUCGCAAUUUAAUGUUAAUCCUUCAGCAUAUAGAGAUUCUAUAACAAAUAUCGAUGUAUGUCAACUUUCUACAUAUGCAAAAUUCUAUCUCUUAAAAAUGAUAACUUACAACUGCAGUUCGACCCCAACUAGAAUUAAUUUGUGUGCAAUGAAUUCUAUUUCUGUAAAACCACAUCUUAAGUAUGGCAAUACCUAGAUUCGAUUGUCUAGCACUCUUAAACAAGAACCCAGGUCACAAAUUCCUAUCAAAUCAUGGAAGGCAAAAAGUUGUUUACACAAAUGACCUUAUUUAUUGGCUUUUUUAAGACAAAAAAAUAAAUACAUAAUCCAAUUUGCUGUUCCUUUUUCACUUGGCCGCUAGGACAGUCAGCUAAGUUGAUGACUCAACUAAUGUAAUUUCUCACUCCAAUGUAACAUCAACUCUCCUAAACUAUCUUUUGUUGUCUUCCUUCUUAAUUGUUUUGUUUUUAUAUUAUGUUUUAUAGCCUCUAAUUCUUUAAGGCAGAAGUUUAUAAAUUUUAUAUGAUCAAAUCUUGGUCCAGUGCACCUUCUGCUAACAACAAUGUGGUGAAGGGAAAGUAUGUGGAUUUGGUGCCAGCCAGACCAGGGUUCAAAUCUUAGCUCUGCCCCUUACUAGCACCAUGCCCU